GAUGAAGAACGUAGUGAAAUGCGAUACUUGGUGUGAAUUGCAGAAUCCCGUGAACCAUCGAGUCUUUGAACGCAAGUUGCGCCUGAAGCCAGUAGGCCGAGGGCACGCCUGCCUGGGCGUCACACGUCGUUGCCCCCCCAUCUAAUCCUUCGGGAUUGCGGGGGGCGGAUGAUGGCCUCCCGUGCGCCUCGUCGCGCGGUUGGCAUAAAUGCCAAGUCCUCGGCGACGCACGCCACGACAAUCGGUGGUUGCGAAACCUCGGUUGCCCGUCGUGUGCGGUCGUCGCGCAUCGAGGGCUCGAAAAAAUUGCCGGGCUCCGGCUCGACUUUCAACGCGACCCCAGGUCAGGCGGGGUUACCCGCUGAAUUUAAGCAUAUCAAUAAGCGGAGGA
This 391-nucleotide unclassified non-coding RNA is filed under the name soil metagenome. Its description in RNAcentral is "partial contains 5.8S ribosomal RNA, internal transcribed spacer 2, and large subunit ribosomal RNA". The stretch from base 1 to 122 matches the Rfam family "5.8S ribosomal RNA", at positions 35 to 154 of the family's 154-position model. The record is from RNAcentral.